RNAcentral lists this ribosomal RNA (468 nucleotides) under uncultured bacterium. RNAcentral describes it as "partial 16S ribosomal RNA". It matches the Rfam family "Bacterial small subunit ribosomal RNA", at positions 28 to 507 of the family's 1533-position model. The record is from RNAcentral.
GACGAACGCUGGCGGCGUGCUUAACACAUGCAAGUCGAACGGAAAGGCCCUGCUUUUGUGGGGUGCUCGAGUGGCGAACGGGUGAGUAACACGUGAGUAACCUGCCCUUGACUUUGGUAUAACUUCAGGAAACUGGGGCUAAUAUCGGAUAGGAGCUCCUGCUGCAUGGUGGGGGUUGGAAAGUUGCGGCGGUUGGGGAUGGACUAGCGGCUUAUCAGCUUGUUGGUGGGGUAGUGGCUUACCCAGGGUUUGACGGGUAGGCGGCCUGAGAGGGUGGCCGGCCACAUUGGUACUGAGAUAGGGCCCAGACUGCUACGGGAGGCAGCAGUGGGGAAUAUUGCACAAUGGGCGGAAGCCUGAUGCAGCAACGCCGCGUGCGGGAUGACGGCCUUCGGGUUGUAAACCGCUUUCGCCUGUGACGAAGCGUGAGUGACGGUAAUGGGUAAAGAAGCACCGGCUAACUACGUG